RNAcentral lists this ribosomal RNA (440 nucleotides) under uncultured bacterium. Its description in RNAcentral is "partial 16S ribosomal RNA". It matches the Rfam family "Bacterial small subunit ribosomal RNA", at positions 338 to 795 of the family's 1533-position model. The record is from RNAcentral.
CCUACGGGUGGCAGCAGUGGGGGAUAUUGCACAAUGGGGGAAACCCUGAUGCAGCGACGCCGCGUGGGUGAAGAAGCGCCUCGGCGCGUAAAGCCCUUUCAGCCGGGAAGAAAAUGACGGUACCUGAAGAAGAAGCCCCGGCUCACUACGUGCCAGCAGCCGCGGUCAUACGUAGGGGGCAAGCGUUAUCCGGAUUUACUGGGGGUAAAGGGGGCGCAGACGGCGAUGCAAGCCAGGAGGGAAAGCCCGGGGCCCAACCCCGGGACUGCUGUUGGAACUGCGUGGCGAGAGUGCAGGAGGGGCAGGCGGAAUUCCUGGUGUAGCGGUGAAAUGCGUAGAUAUCAGGCGGAACACCGGUGGCGAAGGCGGCCUGCUGGACUGCAACUGACGUUGAGGCACGAAAGCGUGGGGAGCAAACAGGAUUAGAUACCCGUGUAGUC